Molecule: ribosomal RNA, 211 nt
Filed under: uncultured bacterium
Lineage: Bacteria
Description: partial 16S ribosomal RNA
Rfam family: Bacterial small subunit ribosomal RNA
Source: RNAcentral
AUCCUGGCUCAGGAUGAACGCUAGCUACAGGCUUAACACAUGCAAGUCGAGGGGCAGCAUGAACUUAGCUUGCUAAGUUUGAUGGCGACCGGCGCACGGGUGAGUAACACGUAUCCAACCUGCCGAUGACUCGGGGAUAGCCUUUCGAAAGAAAGAUUAAUACCCGAUGGCAUAGUUCUUCCGCAUGGUAGAACUAUUAAAGGAUUCGUCG